GGAGAGGUGACCGAGCUGGCCGAUGGUGCUCGCCUGCUAAGCGAGUGUGGGGGUUAAACUCCACCGAGGGUUCGAAUCCCUCCCUCUCCGCCA
This 93-nucleotide transfer RNA is filed under the name Desulfobulbus sp. RNAcentral describes it as "tRNA-Ser". It matches the Rfam family "tRNA". Rfam says of the family: Transfer RNA (tRNA) molecules are approximately 80 nucleotides in length. Lineage: Bacteria; Pseudomonadati; Thermodesulfobacteriota; Desulfobulbia; Desulfobulbales; Desulfobulbaceae. The record is from RNAcentral.